UUCACCAUUCGUCAUUUGUAUUAAGGAAGUAUUUGUGGAUACCGGUACCGUCAAGUGGUUCAACGAAACCAAGGGCUUUGGUUUCAUUUCCCCGGACAACGGCGGCGACGAUCUGUUCGCCCAUUUCUCGGAAAUUCGCGGCACGGGCUUCAAGACCCUGGCCGAAGGCCAGAAGGUCAGCUUCGAAGUGAAGCGUGGCCCGAAGGGUCUGCAAGCGUCGAACAUCACGCCGCAGUAAGCCGCAUCGGCAGCGGUCGCCGAUCGGCGGCCGUUGCCGG
This 278-nucleotide unclassified non-coding RNA is filed under the name Burkholderia cenocepacia. Its description in RNAcentral is "cspA". Lineage: Bacteria; Pseudomonadati; Pseudomonadota; Betaproteobacteria; Burkholderiales; Burkholderiaceae. The record is from RNAcentral.